GGAGGUACGUCUCGUCUGGUGACGGGCCUGGUCUUCAAAACCAGUCGAACUGCCGUGGGAACGGUGGUUGGUGGGUUCGAUUCCCAUGUACCUCCGCCA
Molecule: transfer RNA, 99 nt
Filed under: Acidobacteriota bacterium
Lineage: Bacteria; Pseudomonadati; Acidobacteriota
Description: Acidobacteria bacterium tRNA-Sec
Rfam family: Selenocysteine transfer RNA
Source: RNAcentral